CCGUGACGACAUCGAGCUAUUAUACGCAUGAACCUCUAAGGCCUUUCCUGUAAACACAGUCCUCCACUGCAGUAUCGCUCUCUGGAGUCAAUCUAUUUCUUGGUCACCAACAGACCACCUUCAUUGAACACUCUAAACAAUGUUAAUGGUGUGUUUGGGUCUAAAGGGAUUAUUAUAGUGCUUUCUAGGUACUUUUGCAACCCAGUAUCAUGACUAAAUGUGAAAUAGAAACGCCGGUCCCCUGUAUGCAUUUUACGCUUUGUUUCUCCGAAACAUGAAAUGGACAUGCAUGCACAGAAACGGCUCUGCACCGGUGUUUCUAAUCUGAGAGGCUACUGUCGGGUUGGACCACAGCAGGCGUCUUGCCGAAGCUUUGGUAGCUAGUUGCUAACAAGAUUCAUGAUUCAAGAUACCAGUAGACAUCCAACAGCUUACUCCAGUCGCUGGAGAGCACGAGCCACCGUGGCCUCACCACCCCCUCCUCCUCUCUCCCUUGGCUUCUCCCAUCAGACAAACCAAUCAGGAUUUGAGAAACGGAAUCUCAGGCAAACAUACCAAACACUUUCUAAACACCAUGUAUGUUAAUAUUAUGCAUGGUUUUAAAUAUUUGCACCAAUUAUGAAAAUCUUAAAGUGGGAUAACUUAUUAUUAAUCUGCAGUUAAAUUACAUUUAGUUUUCCCACUUUUUAUUUACUUUAACACUAAAGUUUUAGCCAGAGUUCAUCUUCUGUUUAUUUAAUCUCAGUAUUUCCAUCAUGAAUACAUUAUUUUACAGUACUGUUGUUGUUGUGAAGAAAUUUUGUGUUUUUCUUUUUCUGCAGAGAUUUAUUCAGCUGCAGUCUACUCAGCAGUGAGAACAACAGGCAUCAGUUAUGAACAAUUAUGCUGUCACACCAAAGAGGAAAAGAGACUUUAAACCAGAGCCAGACGUCGUCUACUCUUCACUGAAGUAGUCCACCAGUCCAACCACUGACGUCCAUCUGCUGGUCUCUAAUUGGUCCGCCCAGCACAUCAGACCAGAGGACAUCCACAUGUUGUUCUUUUCUAUUUUCAGAUUUUUUUUUUCUUAUCUGGACAACUAUGAUAUUUUCAAAUUCAAUUUUCCUGUAAAAUCAUCAAUAAUAAACAUAUGUUAAUGUGUU
Oreochromis niloticus (Nile tilapia) is the source of this 1142-nucleotide long non-coding RNA. RefSeq lists it as uncharacterized. The transcript has 2 exons. The record is from RefSeq and is a predicted model, not a curated record. NCBI's taxonomy places the organism in Eukaryota, Metazoa, Chordata, Actinopteri, Cichliformes, Cichlidae.